RNAcentral lists this long non-coding RNA (204 nucleotides) under Elaeis guineensis (African oil palm). Its description in RNAcentral is "long non-coding RNA (EGUI_LNC040411)". The record is from RNAcentral. Lineage: Eukaryota; Viridiplantae; Streptophyta; Magnoliopsida; Arecales; Arecaceae.
GGCUAGUAGUUUAUUUCUCCGCUUACUGUUUGACAGUGACAUACUUAUAGGAUCCAACUUUAAUAGCUGGUAUCGAAAGUUAAAAAUUAUUCCAGAGCUUGAAAGGAUCCUGUAUGUUCUUACGGAUCCAGCACCUGAAGUUCUCAAGCCCAAUGCAUGUGAUGCGAUUAGAGUCGCUUAUCAGAAGUAGCUUAAUAACCAAAC